GUAGGUGGCAAGCGUUGUCCGGAAUUAUUGGGCGUAAAGCGCGCGCAGGCGGUUCUUUAAGUCUGAUGUGAAAGCCCACGGCUCAACCGUGGAGGGUCAUUGGAAACUGGAGAACUUGAGUACAGAAGAGGAAAGCGGAAUUCCACGUGUAGCGGUGAAAUGCGUAGAGAUGUGGAGGAACACCAGUGGCGAAGGCGGCUUUCUGGUCUGUAACUGACGCUGAGGCGCGAAAGCGUGGGGAGCAAACAGGGAUUAGAUACCCUGGUAGUCCACGCCGUAAACGAUGAGUGCUAAGUGUUAGGGGGGUUUUCCGCCCCCCUUAGUGCUGCAGCUAACGCAUUAAGCACUCCGCCUGGGGAGUACGGCCGCAAGGCUG
This 376-nucleotide ribosomal RNA is filed under the name uncultured organism. RNAcentral's name for it is "partial 16S ribosomal RNA". It matches the Rfam family "Bacterial small subunit ribosomal RNA", at positions 527 to 896 of the family's 1533-position model. The record is from RNAcentral.